GGGAAUCGAUACAUUCGUCCAGAGUCGUUCCUGCUAGAAGCUCCUUCGGUAUCCUCAAAAUGAAGUCCUUUGUGUGCGUUGUUAUGUGCCUCGUGGUGGCUGCAUCCGCCAGCACCCAAAUGCAGGCAGCUAUCAAUGAUCUGGCGGCGCACACAGAAUGAAUCUGGUUAGAAUGAAUCCUGACAUACCCGUCUAUCGUGAUUUCUGAUGCUGCCUUUCUGAGAAUCGGCCCUAUUUUUUCAUUAACAAAUUCACAAUAUCUACCUACAUUGCAGUUCUAAGUUGGUUUUGGACAAGUGCGGUUGCAUUUUUUUUCCAUUCCGUUGCGUUUUUUCUAUUGAGCAAAAUCUCUUUCAUUUUGGUAGUCCGGUGAAGUUAGUACAUCCCGGUAUCUAAAUUCGAAAAUUCGCAGUAAAUUUAUAAAUGGCUUUAAUUUUAUAAAUCUCUUCACCGUA
Long non-coding RNA from Uranotaenia lowii, 455 nucleotides. RefSeq lists it as uncharacterized. Lineage: Eukaryota; Metazoa; Arthropoda; Insecta; Diptera; Culicidae. The transcript is spliced from 2 exons. The record is from RefSeq and is a predicted model, not a curated record.